UCAUUGAGCAAUUCGUCGUCCGUAU
Molecule: microRNA, 25 nt
Filed under: Anopheles gambiae (African malaria mosquito)
Lineage: Eukaryota; Metazoa; Arthropoda; Insecta; Diptera; Culicidae
Description: aga-miR-10359-5p
Source: miRBase by way of RNAcentral